This 253-nucleotide ribosomal RNA is filed under the name uncultured bacterium. RNAcentral's name for it is "partial 16S ribosomal RNA". It matches the Rfam family "Bacterial small subunit ribosomal RNA", at positions 524 to 776 of the family's 1533-position model. The record is from RNAcentral.
UACGUAGGUGGCAAGCGUUGUCCGGAAUUAUUGGGCGUAAAGCGCGCGCAGGCGGCCUCUUAAGUCUGAUGUGAAAGCCCCCAGCUCAACCGGGGAGGGCCAUUGGAAACUGGGAGGCUUGAGUAUAGGAGAGAAGAGUGGAAUUCCACGUGUAGCGGUGAAAUGCGUAGAGAUGUGGAGGAACACCAGUGGCGAAGGCGACUCUUUGGCCUAUAACUGACGCUGAGGCGCGAAAGCGUGGGGAGCAAACAGG